RNAcentral lists this long non-coding RNA (1304 nucleotides) under Rattus norvegicus (Norway rat). RNAcentral describes it as "long non-coding RNA NONRATT024706". The record is from RNAcentral. Lineage: Eukaryota; Metazoa; Chordata; Mammalia; Rodentia; Muridae.
UGGAGAGAGGAACCCUGAACGUCAGGACUCCACAGAGCAGAGGCUUCAGAAUGUGGGAGUGGGAAGCAAGUUGUUGGUGGCUUCUCAGCCAGGACUCUCCUGGAGCCUGUCAGGAGGAUACCCCUCUUUCAUGAACUUUUGUCAUCUGAGAUUCACCAGGGUAACACUCACUCAUGAGAUACAGAACAGAGGGAUAAAGAAGGGAGCAGAGGAAAUGUCAAUGCACCAGCAACCAAGUGUCCUCCCUAACCAUGUCAAACAGCAAGCCACGCCAUCAAGAAGCUCAGAAAACGCCAGUCAGGACAAGUGCUGUCGUAGUCACGUUUCUAUUGUCGUGACAAAACUCCGCAACUAACACAGCUUAUGGAGGGAAGCAUUUAACUGGCAUCAGAGUCCAUGAUGACGGAGCAAAGGCCCCGCAGGAACAACUGAAGGGUCACAUCCUGAUCUGUAAGUAGGAGGCAGAGAGAAGUCCACGGGGAGUGGCGUGAGUCUUUUGAAGCCUGGAAACCUAGGACACACCUCCUAAUCCUCUCCAAACUGUUCCACCAACUGAAGACCAAGUCUUCAAACCUAUGAGCCUACAAGGGCCACUCCCACUCACACUGCUAAGAAAAACACCUUCCUUCAACUCUGAGCCUCCUGCUUACAACGCCCAGAGUGUGGGGAGACGAGGCCGACUGCAGGAGGGUGCCUGCAGAAGCCGUGCCCGGUAAAGCAGUUACCUGAAAAGGACUCCCACACUCAGCAAAAACGGUGAGCGAGAAAGAAACUGUCCAAAGAUCUGGACAGACGCCUUGAUGAAGAGGACAGAUUGCAGACAGCAAGCAGAAGGAUGCUGGGCUCCCAUCACUGCUGUUUAGUGAAACCCGGGGGAUGUCAAUGUUUGUAGCCGCUGGGUUUAUAAUUACUGGAACCCGGAAGCAACUGGGGUAUUCUUAAAGAGUAAUGGGAGAAUAGGUGUAGUCCAUCCAGGGGGUAGACCACUACUCCUUAGCAGGAAGAAAUGAGACAUUAUUCCUGGAAAACAUGGGGGAACUGAAACGUAUGUGACUACGUAGCCAGACAGUCUGAAGAGACUAGACCCUGUGUGAUCCCAACACUAGGAUAUUCUGACAAAGACAGAAAACAUCCCCAAGAUCAGUGACUUCUGGGGGCUCAGCACAAAGGGUUAAAUAGGGGCUCCCUGGGGAGAAGAUACAGAAGAUACAGGUCCCUGGGAACCUCUACUUCAGCCUGAUUUUAUUGUAAACCUAAAAGUAUCCCCAAAAUAAAGUUUACUAAUUUAAAGAAAAACGUAUAAA